This 219-nucleotide ribosomal RNA is filed under the name Aurantiochytrium limacinum. RNAcentral describes it as "partial Bacterial large subunit ribosomal RNA". It matches the Rfam family "Bacterial large subunit ribosomal RNA", at positions 296 to 518 of the family's 2925-position model. Lineage: Eukaryota; Bigyra; Thraustochytrida; Thraustochytriidae. The record is from RNAcentral.
UGGGUCGUGGAGUUAUAAAUGUUGCGUGGUAGCCGAACGGUAUUGAAUGACCGACCGUAGAGGGUGGUAGUCCUGUAGGCGAAAUUGCGUGACCUCUUUGAAGUGUCCCCGAGUAGCACCGGACUCGUGAAAUCUGGUGUGAAUCUGGCAAGACCACUUGCUAAGCCUGAAUACUACCUGGUGACCGAUAGCGGACUAGUACCGUGAGGGAAAGGUGAA